RNAcentral lists this ribosomal RNA (507 nucleotides) under uncultured bacterium. Its description in RNAcentral is "partial 16S ribosomal RNA". It matches the Rfam family "Bacterial small subunit ribosomal RNA", at positions 28 to 507 of the family's 1533-position model. The record is from RNAcentral.
GACGAACGCUGGCGGCGUGCCUAAUACAUGCAAGUCGAACGCAUUUUCUUUCACCGUAGCUUGCUACACCGAAAGAAAAUGAGUGGCGAACGGGUGAGUAACACGUGGGUAACCUGCCCAUCAGCGGGGGAUAACACUUGGAAACAGGUGCUAAUACCGCAUAAUUCCAUUUACUGCAUGGUAGAUGGAUGAAAGGCGCUUUUGCGUCACUGAUGGAUGGACCCGCGGUGCAUUAGCUAGUUGGUGGGGUAACGGCCUACCAAGGCUGCGAUGCAUAGCCGACCUGAGAGGGUGAUCGGCCACACUGGGACUGAGACACGGCCCAGACUCCUACGGGAGGCAGCAGUAGGGAAUCCUCGGCAAUGGACGCAAGUCUGACCGAGCAACGCCGCGUGAGUGAAGAAGGUUUUCGGAUCGUAAAACUCUGUUGUUAGAAAAGAACAAGGAUGAGAGUGGAAAGUUCAUCCCUUGACGGUAUCUAACCAGAAAGCCACGGCUAACUACGUG